RNAcentral lists this ribosomal RNA (458 nucleotides) under uncultured bacterium. RNAcentral describes it as "partial 16S ribosomal RNA". It matches the Rfam family "Bacterial small subunit ribosomal RNA", at positions 338 to 795 of the family's 1533-position model. The record is from RNAcentral.
CCUACGGGUGACAGCAGUGAGGAAUAUUGGUCAAUGGGCGAGAGCCUGAACCAGCCAAGUCGCGUGAGGGAGUACUGCCCUAUGGGUUGUACACCUCUUUUGUCGGGGAGCAAAAGCCGGACGUGUCCGGCUGUGAGAGUACCCGAAGAAAAAGCAUCGGCUAACUCCGUGCCAGCAGCCGCGGUAAUACGGAGGAUGCGAGCGUUAUCCGGAUUUAUUGGGGUUAAAGGGUGCGCAGGCGGAUUUUUAAGUCAGCGGUCAAAUCGUGGGGCUCAACCCCAUCCAGCCGUUGAAACUGGGGAUCUAGAGUGUGCGAGAGGUAUGCGGAAUGCGUGGUGUAGCGGUGAAAUGCAUAGAUAUCACGCAGAACCCCGAUUGCGAAGGCAGCAUACCGGUGCACAACUGACGCUCAGGCACGAAAGCGUGGGUAUCGAACAGGAUUAGAUACCCUAGUAGUC